RNAcentral lists this ribosomal RNA (497 nucleotides) under uncultured bacterium. Its description in RNAcentral is "partial 16S ribosomal RNA". It matches the Rfam family "Bacterial small subunit ribosomal RNA", at positions 28 to 507 of the family's 1533-position model. The record is from RNAcentral.
GAUGAACGCUGGCGGCGUGCCUAAUACAUGCAAGUCGAGCGAACGGACGAGAAGCUUGCUUCUCUGAUGUUAGCGGCGGACGGGUGAGUAACACGUGGAUAACCUACCUAUAAGACUGGGAUAACUUCGGGAAACCGUAGCUAAUACCGGAUAAUAUUUUGAACCGCAUGGUUCAAAAGUGAAAGACGGUCUUGCUGUCACUUAUAGAUGGAUCCGCGCUGCAUUAGCUAGUUGGUAAGGUAACGGCUUACCAAGGCAACGAUGCAUAGCCGACCUGAGAGGGUGAUAGGCCACAUUGGAACUGAGACACGGUCCAGACUCCUACGGGAGGCAGCAGUAGGGAAUCUUCCGCAAUGGGCGAAAGCCUGACGGAGCAACGCCGAGUGAGUGAUGAAGGUCUUCGGAUCGUAAAACUCUGUUAUUAGGGAAGAACAUAUGUGUAAGUAACUGUGCACAUCUUGACGGUACCUAAUCAGAAAGCCACGGCUAACUACGUG